RNAcentral lists this long non-coding RNA (2320 nucleotides) under Nicotiana tabacum (common tobacco). RNAcentral describes it as "long non-coding RNA (NTAB_LNC017140)". The record is from RNAcentral. Lineage: Eukaryota; Viridiplantae; Streptophyta; Magnoliopsida; Solanales; Solanaceae.
CAGGGAUGAUGUCUUCUCCUCGUUCCUGAAUUCUUUGAUCAAUGAAGACAUGUUCAAUAGCCAAAACCAACAAAUUACCAAUGGCAUGUUCCCAGAUUUUGAUCCUUUGGUUAAUCCUACACAGGAUAAUCAACAAGAGAGUGGAUGAAUGAAGAUGUUUAUGUGCCUUCUCUAAUUACCUUCCCAUGGUUGUAUAAGAAAUAGAAGAAGAAUUUGGAUUCUUAUUGAUUAAUUGUAAGCAAACCAUUCUUUCUCUUGAUGAUGUUCUAGCUUGUCUCUUUAUUGUUUAUAUAUGUAAUUUAUAAGUAUGAAUCUUAACUGUUAUCUUGUAAUAGAAUAUGUAUGUGAGGUUUGCACAUAUCGUAAUGCCAUAAGUAUAUGUUUGAGUUUAUUUCUUCAGUACGUAGUUGUUGGUUACUAUAUUAAUGGAUUAUAUUGUGACUCUAAUUUAAUCCCAAAAGCUAGCUGGAAAUGUAAGAAUUACCCAAAAUCAUAUAAUAAACCCAAUAUAUUUUAUUACACAAGAUGUGGUAAACAAAAUACCCCCUUCUCACUCCCAAGACUAGACAUUUGGUACGUGAACACUGUAACAAGGGGCUCAACAUUGAGUAAACUAAGAAUUAUAAUAAAUUUGGCUCUGAUACCAUAUUAAGAAAAUAAAUUUUGGGUCUAACACACCCUAUAAUGAUAUGCACUUGCAUCAAAAUUCUAUUGAGUUGGCCGGGCAUGUUGCUUAUACUUUGUGAGGAUGUUCGAUUUUAGGUCUCUCUCCUCUAUGUAAUUAUAUUUAAAAUUUUAAUAUAUAAGGUAGGGGUCAAUGUCAAUCUCCUUGCUACGACAAGGCGGCUUUAACUAGUUAAAGCAAUCCUAACACAUCAGGAUGAAUAUAAAGUUCACAUUAAUUCAAAUCAAGCAUAGACUCUUAACAUUUUACAUGAAUAACAAAUCUAACAUUCUUUUUAUUUAUCAUCUCCUUUUAAACUUCCAAAGCUCUAGAUACAAAAUUAAACUGCAACAACAUAUAUCCAUGCCAUCACAACUUUUACUUUCUUUUACAAGACUAAUUUUUUAUUUUUAUUUUCUUAACUUUCUUUUACCGGACUACAAUAGUAUUGGAAUAUAUCUUCUUCCUGUCUUCAAUUGUCAAGGUUUUGUCUACAUCUUCCUUUAUAUUUGACAACAACAUGAAGUACCAUCCUUAGACCAAAUAUUCAGAACUUCAACUAAAAGCAGCUACCAGUCUGUUUAUUUAAAUAUACUGCACAUGCGAUUGGUAGGUAACUCUAGAUAUACAUGCAUAUUUUACUUUCAUUUUACUUCUCGAAUAAUAUAGUUUUAAGGUCCAAUAAAAUGAGACUGAAAAUUACCUUAAAGAUGCAAAUAUUACUUGUCAUAAUAAAGAUUCAUUCAUGCAAAUCAACCCUUAAGUUGGUGCGAAAAGUAUGUAUAAUGACCAACGUUCUAAAAGUUGGUCUAUAGCUAACCGUUCAAAAAUAUAAAAUUAAACUAAAGUUGGAAAUAUUUUUUAAGUUCCUCUUUUUUCAAUUUCUCAUUAACCAAAUAACAUCUUCUUCUGCAUGUAAGCAUAUGUUAUGUUUUUUCUUUUAAUCAUAAUGGGAAUGCUUUUACUUAUAGUAUAGUUUAAUAUUUGAGCACCUAAUGGUCUGACGAAAAUAUAAUCAUGUAUAGAAUGGACUCAUUUUCUUGACCGAGGAAAUAUAUGCAUGAUAUGGUCGUAUAACUAGUCAAAACUACACGUCGAAAUUUAGGUAGCUAACAUGCAUUCGACUAAUUGAUUAAAUAUAUCAACUUUACUGAACAGAAAAUUAUUCUAAAAAGGAAGAACGUAGAAAUUAACCAGCCAAUGCAGUGAAAAUUGUUGCAGUAUAUAGUACGUAAUUGAAACGAGCUUCCACGAAUAAAUGGUAGCUUGAAGAAAGAAAAAUAAAAUAUAUAUUCAACAUGAACAUAAAUUAUUAGAACUAUAUGAAUAUAAGAAUAUGUAUUAGAGAGUGCCAAAAAUAUAUUUUAAAAAAAAGACAUGCAAAAUUUGUUUCUGUUUAGUACCAUUUUACAAGCACUAGGACUAAAAAUAGAAUAUAUGGAGAUGACUUUGCAUAUAAUAUAUCCUUUGUUAUAAUACGAGAAAAAAAGAAUAAAUGAAAAUCUACAAAUUAAAAUCGUUGACUCACCCGGAAAACUCGUAGCCAUUGCCAUGUUGGAGCUAGAAAAAGUUCCUUUUAAAAGAUUUUCCUUACUGUUUUUUCCGAGAGUAUACAACUUGUGAAAAAAGAUUAGUUAGAAGUUAAUAGUGUAAAAU